CAAAAACAUAGCUUUUUGGUGAAAGUAAAAAGUAGGGUCUGCCCAGUGAGUAAUUUUAACGGCCGCAAUAUUUGUGCGAAGGUAGCAUAAUCAUUUGUCUUUUAAUUGAUGACUGGAAUGAAUGGCUGGACGGGGAUAAGCUGUCUUAUGUAUAUAUAUUUGAAAUUUACUUUUAAGUAAAAAGGCUUAAAUAUUUUAGAGGGACGAGAAGACCCUAUUGAGUUUAAUAGAAUUUAUUUAAAUUUUUCUUAAAUUUUUAUGUAAUCUAUUUAGUUGGGGAGAUUUGAUAUUAUUAACUAUAUAAGAAUUAAUAGACUUUAAGUUUUUAGGAUCCAUAUUUUAUGAGUGUUAAGGUAAAUUACCUUAGGGAUAACAGCGUAAUAUUUUUUUAGAGUUCAAAUCGAUUAAAAUGAUUACGACCUCGAUGUAGGAUUAAGGAACCUAAUUUGGAGAAGAUUUUAAUUUAGGUAGUCUGUACGACUAUUAAAUCUUUAC
This 495-nucleotide ribosomal RNA is filed under the name Nymphon australe. RNAcentral describes it as "partial 16S ribosomal RNA". It matches the Rfam family "Bacterial large subunit ribosomal RNA", at positions 1808 to 2599 of the family's 2925-position model. Lineage: Eukaryota; Metazoa; Arthropoda; Pycnogonida; Pantopoda; Nymphonidae. The record is from RNAcentral.